Molecule: ribosomal RNA, 261 nt
Filed under: uncultured bacterium
Lineage: Bacteria
Description: partial 16S ribosomal RNA
Rfam family: Bacterial small subunit ribosomal RNA
Source: RNAcentral
GCAAGUCGAACGAGAAAGCACUUCGGUGUGAGUAGAGUGGCAGACGGGUGAGUAAUGCAUAGAUAAUCUAUCUUAGAGAGGGGGAUAACAUCGCGAAAGCGAUGCUAAUACCGCAUAAUAUUGAGUUAAUUAAUUUAGCUUAAUCAAAGGGUGGGAUUCUUCGGAACCACUUGCUUUUUGAGGAGUCUAUGUCCUAUUAGUUAGUUGGUGGGGUAAAGGCCUACCAAGACGAUGAUGGGUAGCCGAGCUGAGAGGCUGAUC